UGUUGUGUGGCUUAAUUGGUUAAAGCGCUGGACUUGCGAUUCAGAGUCGUGUGUUUGAAUCCCACCAAAACAA
Molecule: non-coding RNA, 73 nt
Organism: Aedes albopictus (Asian tiger mosquito)
Lineage: Eukaryota; Metazoa; Arthropoda; Insecta; Diptera; Culicidae
Source: Rfam